AGAGUUUGAUCCUGGCUCAGGAUGAACGCUGGCGGCGUGCCUAACACAUGCAAGUCGAACGGGGCGUAUGCAGCGGAAGCUUUCGGGCGGAAGCAGCAUACAGCCUAGUGGCGGACGGGUGAGUAACGCGUGGGUAACCUGCCCUGUACAGGGGGACAACAGCUGGAAACGGCUGCUAAUACCGCAUAAGCCCGCGGUGCCGCAUGGCGCUGCGGGGAAAACUCCGGUGGUACAGGAUGGGCCCGCGUCUGAUUAGCUAGUUGGCGGGGUAACGGCCUACCAAGGCAGCGAUCAGUAGCCGGCUUGAGAGAGUGGACGGCCACAUUGGGACUGAGACACGGCCCAGACUCCUACGGGAGGCAGCAGUGGGGAAUAUUGCACAAUGGGGGGAACCCUGAUGCAGCAACGCCGCGUGGGUGAAGAAGUAUUUCGGUAUGUAAAGCCCUAUCAGCAGGGAAGAAAGUGACGGUACCCGACUAAGAAGCUCCGGCUAAAUACGUG
Molecule: ribosomal RNA, 501 nt
Filed under: uncultured Lachnospiraceae bacterium
Lineage: Bacteria; Bacillati; Bacillota; Clostridia; Lachnospirales; Lachnospiraceae
Description: bacterial SSU rRNA
Rfam family: Bacterial small subunit ribosomal RNA
Source: RNAcentral